Long non-coding RNA from Saccostrea cuccullata (small rock oyster), 340 nucleotides. RefSeq lists it as uncharacterized. The record is from RefSeq and is a predicted model, not a curated record. Lineage: Eukaryota; Metazoa; Mollusca; Bivalvia; Ostreida; Ostreidae. The transcript has 4 exons.
CCAUGUGGAGAGAGGAGCCAUGAGAUGAAAAAAAUUGAGAGGAGUUGGAGGAAAUAUGACAGUGAAUAUCGGAACAAGUACCAAAUAAGCAACAAGUCACCAGAUUGGAAGAUAUGUACAAGUCCACAUGCUCUCCAGAGAGAUUCAUUCAACUGUGGAAUAUAUUGCCUUGUGUUUGCAGAGAAGCAUUUAAAUGGACACUUGCAUGAUCUACAAAGUAAUAACUAAAAAAGAUCUACAAAUCAUGAGGAGAAAAGUAGCUUUAGAGUUGAUGCUUUACAAAGUUAACUUGACAGGAUGUUGCCCAAAAUGUGCUAAAAAAAUUGAAAAUGAGGAAAAG